CACGUAGGGUGCGAGCGUUGUCCGGAAUUAUUGGGCGUAAAGAGCUCGUAGGCGGUGUGUCGCGUCGGCCGUGAAAACCUGCAGCUUAACUGUGGGCUUGCGGUCGAUACGGGCAUCACUGGAGUUCGGCAGGGGAGACUGGAAUUCCUGGUGUAGCGGUGAAAUGCGCAGAUAUCAGGAGGAACACCAAUGGCGAAGGCAGCUCGCUGGGACGGUACUGACGCUGAGACGCGAAGCGUGGGGAGCAAACAGG
Molecule: ribosomal RNA, 253 nt
Filed under: uncultured bacterium
Lineage: Bacteria
Description: partial 16S ribosomal RNA
Rfam family: Bacterial small subunit ribosomal RNA
Source: RNAcentral